AUACGAAGGGUGCAAGCGUUAAUCGGAAUUACUGGGCGUAAAGCGCGCGUAGGCGGUUUGUUAAGUCAGAUGUGAAAGCCCCAGGCUCAACCUGGGAACUGCAUUUGAAACUGGCAGGCUAGAGUGUGGUAGAGGGAAGUGGAAUUUCAGGUGUAGCGGUGAAAUGCGUAGAUAUCUGAAGGAACAUCAGUGGCGAAGGCGACUUCCUGGACCAACACUGACGCUGAGGUGCGAAAGCGUGGGUAGCAAACAGGAUUAGAAACCCUAGUAGUCC
This 274-nucleotide ribosomal RNA is filed under the name uncultured bacterium. RNAcentral describes it as "partial 16S ribosomal RNA". It matches the Rfam family "Bacterial small subunit ribosomal RNA", at positions 523 to 796 of the family's 1533-position model. The record is from RNAcentral.